GAAAUGCGAUAAGUAAUGUGAAUUGCAGAAUUCAGUGAAUCAUCGAAUCUUUGAACGCACAUUGCGCCCUGUGGUAUUCCGCGGGGCAUGCCUGUUCGAGCGUCAUUAUACCCAAUCAAGCCUGGCUUGGUAUUGGAGCCCGCGUCUUGCGGCUCUCAAACACAGUAGCAGUCUUAGCAGGACCCUAAGUGUAGUAAUAUCUCUCGCUUUUGGGCUUUGUACGGAUUUGCCGUAACCUAAUUUUAAAGGUUGACCUCGGAUCAGGUAGGGAUACCCGCUGAACUUAA
Molecule: unclassified non-coding RNA, 287 nt
Filed under: uncultured Mollisia
Lineage: Eukaryota; Fungi; Ascomycota; Leotiomycetes; Helotiales; Dermateaceae
Description: sequence contains ITS1
Rfam family: 5.8S ribosomal RNA (bases 1-105)
Source: RNAcentral